RNAcentral lists this ribosomal RNA (465 nucleotides) under Vreelandella stevensii. Its description in RNAcentral is "partial 16S ribosomal RNA". It matches the Rfam family "Bacterial small subunit ribosomal RNA", at positions 338 to 795 of the family's 1533-position model. Lineage: Bacteria; Pseudomonadati; Pseudomonadota; Gammaproteobacteria; Oceanospirillales; Halomonadaceae. The record is from RNAcentral.
CCUACGGGUGGCAGCAGUGGGGAAUAUUGGACAAUGGGCGAAAGCCUGAUCCAGCCAUGCCGCGUGUGUGAAGAAGGCCUUCGGGUUGUAAAGCACUUUCAGUGGGGAAGAAAGCCUUGGGGCUAAUACCCUCGAGGAAGGACAUCACCCACAGAAGAAGCACCGGCUAACUCCGUGCCAGCAGCCGCGGUAAUACGGAGGGUGCGAGCGUUAAUCGGAAUUACUGGGCGUAAAGCGCGCGUAGGCGGUCUGAUAAGCCGGUUGUGAAAGCCCCGGGCUCAACCUGGGAACGGCAUCCGGAACUGUCAGGCUAGAGUGCAGGAGAGGAAGGUAGAAUUCCCGGUGUAGCGGUGAAAUGCGUAGAGAUCGGGAGGAAUACCAGUGGCGAAGGCGGCCUUCUGGACUAACACUGACGCUGAGGUGCGAAAGCGUGGGUAGCAAACAGGAUUAGAUACCCCGGUAGUC